ACCGAGGUCUAUCCCGACAGACUCUUGACAGUGGAGCUUAGUCGUUGGAAAUGCCUCGCAGAAAAACCUGCAGUUUCGCUUUACCUUCAGGGCUAUUGCUAUUAGGCCUGUGGGAUAAAAAUGCAGAACAAAC
Molecule: small nucleolar RNA, 133 nt
Organism: Scleropages formosus (Asian bonytongue)
Lineage: Eukaryota; Metazoa; Chordata; Actinopteri; Osteoglossiformes; Osteoglossidae
Source: Ensembl